GAAAACUGAACAUGCAUCUAUAAAAUGCAUUGAACAUCAAGCUUAAUUUGCUUUUCUGACUAAUCUACAUAAAUAAAGUUUCUCUCUGAUAGUUGCUGCAGCUAGUAAAAAUGACUGUAUAGAUGUUCUUAAAUUUAGGAAGCCUCCUUAGGAUAAUUUGAUUUAAAAUCUAGGCUAUUUCUCAAGUACGAAAUUCACUUAGAGAAGACCCAGUAAACCUCUUAAAGAGAUGUCUUCAGUGGAACUUAAAGCAUUGAUCUGCACAGAGCUGCUCUCACACUGCAACUGCAUCCAGUUUGCUUCUAGGAUUUUCUUCUACCUUGAAAAACUGCACAUAGUGAAGAGUUUCUUUGCCUUAUUCCUGCAGUCUUAACAUGUCCUACUGAGUAAAGCAUCUGGAAACAUAAGGAGCUUAUGAAGUCCUUGCAGCAGAGUUGAAGGAGCCUCAGAUGUGAUUGGAGGUCAUUGGGAAACACUGUGGGUCUUCUCUGUCUGGCCUUGAAGCACUGCCAUUAUGUCUGCAGCACUUCCACUGCUGGAUCUUUGAAAUUUUGAAGAGCUUCUGGGUCAUUCUCUAUGAAGUAGUUUGGAUAUUCGUCCCCUCCAAAUGUCAUAUUGAAAUGUGACCUCCAAUUUUGGAGGUGGACCUAGUGGGAGGCGUUUGGGUCAUGCGUUGGAUCCUUCAUGAAUGGCUUGGUGUCCUCCCUAUGGAACAAGCUCUGAAGUCUUGAUCCAAAACAGACAAGGCUUUAAUAUGAAAGCAUUUUUCUUUGAAGAAGUUCACCCUGAAGCCUUGGCCCAAUGAUCUCAGAAGAUGAGAGAGAAUGGCAAACCAAAAACUCUGAGUGAGUUUGAAAGUGGAUCUUCUGAAGCCUUCCAACAGUCAUGUGUGGAAUCUGGAAGUGCAUUUUUGAGGCUUUCCCAUAGCCAUCUGAGUGAGCUGGGCUUACAUAUCUGAAAUUCAGUUGAAUUCAGACAAAAUUCAAGUGAUAUAGUGAAACGGAGUUUGUGAUGUCAACUUGCCUAAGGACAAUUUCCUAAAUUGAACACUCUUUCAUGGAAAAAAGUAAAUUGGAACCUGCACUUGUGAGGCUUGGAAACUACCACCUAAGAUGUUUAAAAGGAAAACUGUCGUUUGCCUCAAAAUGUUUAUCCUUGGGAAGGAAUCAAUAUUGUGCUGACUUUCUCCCCAUACCUAAGUUGGCUUUGCUCCAAUAGUAUUAUUUCCCUCUUUACAAAGUAAAAGUCCAAACAAAAAAACUGUUACUUAAAUAAGUUCCUCUCUAAUUUAUUUGUUCCCCAAUGUCACCAGCUCAAAGACAUUUACAAUAAACUCCAUAUUGGAAAUUGCAAAUCUUUCCACAUUGCUAGCACUCAUGGUCACUUUAUAAAUUAUGUAUUUCUUCUUUCAUUGUUUCAUGUGCUUAUAUAUAUGUGCAUGUGUAUAUAUAUACAUAUACACACACACACAACAUACCUGUUCAAACAUUUAUUGUUUACUAUUAAUAUUGUUUGGCUCUAUGUCCCCACUCAUAUCUCAUCUCGAAUUGUAAUCCCCACACAUCAAGGGAGGGACCUGGUGGGAGGUGACUGUAUCAUGGGGGGUGGAUUCCCCCAUGCUGUUCUUAUGAUGGUGAGAUAGUUCUCACAAGAUCCGGUGGUUUAAAAGUGUUUGGCAGUUCCCUCCUCACUCUCCCUCUCUUGUCGCCUUAUGAAGAAGGUCCUUGCCUCCCCUUUACCUUCCACCAUGAUUGUAAGUUUCCUGAGGCC
Molecule: long non-coding RNA, 1770 nt
Organism: Homo sapiens (human)
Lineage: Eukaryota; Metazoa; Chordata; Mammalia; Primates; Hominidae
Source: Ensembl